AUUCUGGAUGUAGCUGUCAUUGGCACAGAGCUUUCACUGAAGUCUAGAACUGGAAGCUGUAUCAUCCUACAUGUUAUGCUAACCUAUCAAUUGAUGGCCCAAGCUGUGCAGGAAUGCCCACUCCUGGCUGAAUCCUACUGCCCUGAGACUGAUCUGAGCCAUGAGGACACGGGUUGCAACCUGCCACACAUCAGCAACUGGGAGAACAUAGACGAUUGGCCAUCAGCUGCAACGAUUCACCAAACUGAGCCAACAAGACAAUGUCAUUGGCAUAUUUAAGAUCUUGAAGCAGAACCAACAGCUGCCUCCUCAAGCUUAUCCAUCAACCAAUCAGUGCCAAUAUUGAACAAUGAUGGUGACAGAACACAGCCUCAUCAAACUCUCAUAGAGAUAGGAAACCAUGCUGUGUAUCAGCCAUUGACUUGAACAUAGCUUUCUGUUCCAUUAUAGAGCUCUUCUAUCAAUGACACUAUCUUUCUAAGGAUGCAGAGAUGCCUUAUCAGAGGCCUGGUCUUGUUAUUAAUUUGAAUAAAACUAGAUCCCUGGCCAUUAUCUUCAAACAGCCUCCAGCUCCAGAUUUCAACCAGCUCAGUAUUAACCCGCCUGGACAGAACAUCAGGCAGGUAGCAGUUCUCAAAUAUUUGUUCUGUUAUAGACAAUGCUUGAGGAUGAUUGAAGUAAGUGGAUGCUCUU
Long non-coding RNA from Mauremys reevesii (Reeves's turtle), 693 nucleotides. RefSeq lists it as uncharacterized. The transcript is spliced from 3 exons. The record is from RefSeq and is a predicted model, not a curated record. Lineage: Eukaryota; Metazoa; Chordata; Testudines; Geoemydidae.